Erinaceus europaeus (western European hedgehog) is the source of this 88-nucleotide non-coding RNA. The record is from Rfam. Lineage: Eukaryota; Metazoa; Chordata; Mammalia; Eulipotyphla; Erinaceidae.
GGGUUGCUGGAAAAGUCAUGACAUUAACCCCAUAUACACCUCAGCCCAGGCUCCUUGCCCGGUCUGCAUUGUGAAUGGGGGAACAUGU